GGACACCCAGAGAUAUCCUUUGGCCACCCUCAUUCUUCUUCGUUCCAUCCUCCGCCAGCAAGGCUCUUCCGCUAGCAAUGCCCAGCGGUCAUCUCCCGCUACUGCAAUCUGCUAGACUGUACACAUCAGCGGAGCUCGUCUCUUUGCCGCCCAGCUGCCAUAACACUUCCUCCGCUCCACCAAACCGCAACUGCAUCUCCGCUCCGCUGCACUGCUCACAGCAUGGCUCGCUGGCAGCCUCCGCCGAACUCUUCCGGCACGACUCCUCUAGCUCACUGUUGCGCUCUCCACCCACUGCAGGUUCCGCCACACUGUGCACCGCUAGCAGACACUAGCGGCAAAACCUCCGCUAGGCAUCUCCAGCGAGCCUCUCCGCCGG
This 379-nucleotide long non-coding RNA is filed under the name Rosa chinensis. Its description in RNAcentral is "sRNA RchiOBHm_Chr2g0147561". Lineage: Eukaryota; Viridiplantae; Streptophyta; Magnoliopsida; Rosales; Rosaceae. The record is from RNAcentral.